GAAAGCUCUUAGAAGAUGUCAGGCAAUGUUUUAAGCCAUUUGAAGUAAUGGCUUAGCUGUAUUAACCCAUUUAAUCCUCAAGAAAACCUCUUCAUGUCUGCACCAUUAUUACCAUCAUUUAUAAAAUGAGCACAUGGCAGCAGAGUGAGGCGAAGUGACCUGCAGGUGACACAGCUGGCAAUGUGUGAGCUCAGGACAGAUUUGGACUAGGAUCUAUGUUCGUCACAGCUACCCAUCACUGUUUUAAAAUGAAUCCUCAAACUGUAACAUCUAACCAAGAGAAACAUGAUUUGCUAUCACAUUGCUGGAGACCUCGAUAUCUAAUCCAGGCUAACCCCUGUUCUUGCCUCUGCCUAGUUUUCAAAGAAAGAAGAUAAAAGUCUCUCUCAGUUCAAAAAACAUCAUGUGAAAGAGUCAAAUAAAUUUCCAUCACAUGGAGCAUGAUCAUGUGAGAAAAAAGAAUGUGUACAUGUACGUGUGACCGGGUCACCUUGCUGUGCAGUAGAAAAUUGACAGAAUACUGCAAAUCAGCUAUAAUGGAAAAAAAUAAAAAUCAUUAUAAAAAAAGUUCCAUCACAGCAUUCCUAAAUAUCAUAUGAUUUCUCACUUACAAUGUAGAUUUCCCUGUGUACUAGAAAUAUACUUUAAAAAUGUAUUUAACACCCCAUGGAAAGUAAUAUGCUCUGCCUAAGUAUUGCCAGUUCUCAGAGAUUAAUUAAUAUUAAUAUUCUUGUGAGAAAAGGUUCAAUGAUUAUUUACACGAAGUGAAUGAGAAAGGAUCCACUCUUAAUACAGUGUUUAGCUAUGUAAAUAAAACACCACCACACUGUUUAGGCUCCUACUUACACAGGCUGUUAAUGGCAGUGGCCCUGGUAAACCUCAGAGAACAAGCCUCAAGUGACUCUGCAGGUCAUGUCUCACACUGUGUGCAUCCUGUUUCCUGUCCACAGUGGCUAUAAUGGGCACAUAAACUAAAAUUCACGCCCUAUUUAAUCUGUAAACGCCCUGUGUCCUUAGCCCGUAGCAAUGGAAACAUGCCAGGAUCUUUUUCUUAUACAUUUUCUCUUCUCCAUCGGAUCUGAGGAAAAUCCGAGGAAAAUUUAACCAUCGCAGAAUCAUAAAUGGUUAAUGUCAUUUCUGCAUGGCUAGGCUCUUGAUAAUCUUAAAUCCAGAUCAAGAGUUGUUUCAAAGUAAAUUCAUACCACAGUCAUCCAAACAGAAAAGGCUGAAGGAAACAUGCACAAUAUAUCGGAUUAAAUGCAACUUCAGACACCUCAUCCUAGUAAACCUGGGAGACGACUUAAAAAUUUAGGAGGCCUUGGCCAAAUCUUCACUGAGAUAAAAUUUCUAAAAUAGUAUCUAGUAAAAUGACUAGGACAGGUGAAGAGAUUUAUUCUGUUAGCCAAACCAUGUAAUUAAAUACUGACCUUUUCGAUUUACUAAUUUAAAUUUCCCGGUCUCAUUUAAGCCAUCACUUUAGGUGUGUAAUUCAGUCUGCACAUGACUGUUUUAAUAAUUCUCAGUAAGGGAAUUUUUCACAACAUAAUGACUGUUUACAAUUUUAAAUUCACUUAUUUUUUCUAAUAUAUAUUCUAGUAAAUGGCAGCCAGACCAAAAGCACAGAGCAGAAGAAAACAGAAAACUGAACGCAAAGCUAAGACAAUCCAUGGUGCAUUAUUUGCCUGUUGGAACUGAGCUUUAGGUACCUCAUCGCAUGUCUUCUUUAUAUUUUUGUAAAAGUUAUUUUCCAAUUACGUUUUCAUAAAGCACAGUAACCUCUCCAGCAUAGACAACUACUCAAUGAAACAGCUUCUGGUUUUAGGUAGAGAAUUUAAUAUUAUUAUAAAUGCCUACAAAAUAGUCUUCACUUGUACGGAACUCCAGUUUAUCAUAAAAAGGCACUAUAUUUCUUCAAGGCUUAAUUUAGAAGUAAAAUUUAAAUAUGCAUGUGGUGCAAGAGCUUUUAGAAUUUUUUCUAAGAGGCUGUGGGUUACAUUAUCAAGUCGUAUUUAAAGAGCCUAUCUUAAUUCUGUAAACUGAAUGAGUAGAGACGGGGAUGCAACAUCAAUUCACCUGCACAUUUCUGUUCCAGAAUUUUCAAUACUUUCCCUUGCAGAUUCUAGGUCCGUGGGGUUUUUUUUAACUGUCAAAAGCGAGACAACUGUAUUUUACAGCGCCCUGAAAUAUCGGAACCAAACACUGUGCUGGUGAUGGAGACCGAGGAGAUGGAUUUGAGAAGUUUCUGACUUUUAGGAAAGAGUUGCAAUCUGGGUUUACCACAGAUGUCUGAAGUGCAGACUUACUCCAAGGAGCCUGUGCACCUGAAGGGGGGAACAAAAUAAAUUUGUGUCAUCUUAAGCCGUUAAGUUUGUGGUAAUUUGGUACAGCAGCAACUGGAAACCGCUAAGAGUUUGCUAAGGUGUAUGCCUUUAAUGAAUACGUAUAUUUUCAUGAACCUAGAAAGAACUCAGGUGAACUAGCAAUGAAUUAAGGUAGCCCUUUCCCAGCAUAACUGCAGCAUAAUGACUCAUGUCGUGAAGGUAAACAUGGGAAGAGAGUCUUGCUUUUCCUCAGACAAGAGGAUGGUGCGUGAGCAAAGGACUGUACCAAGAGGGUACAAUCGAGGCCAUUAGAGGUUCACCUGCACUCUGACUUGCUCAUCGUGGCGCUGAUUCAUAGGGCAGAACAACCAAUGAGACGACAUGACCCAUGGGCAACUGUGAGCAAACCCCAAAAAGAGCUGGGGACUUUGUGGGAGAAGAAAUCCCUGCGGGAUGGCAUUAAGUUAGAAAGGAAAUGAAGAAUUUAUUCUGGGAACGGCAGCAGAAACAAUCAGUAACUGUAAUUUUGUUAUUAAAACAAUUUACACACGGAAAGUUAAGAAAGGGCUAGUCACUUGCUCUGCAUCUGAAUGCAUAUCUCUGACGGUUUAAAUCGAAGAGGAAAAAAAAAACCCACAAAAGAAACCUUGGCGUUUUGGAAAAAAAGAGAGCUCAGAGGGAGGUUGGCUGGUGACUGACAGAGCCUCUCAAGGUGACAGGCUAACUUCAGGCUCAUGACUGACACCUAUUUUUCUCAGGAGCCCAACUUUGACAGCAAAGUCCCAGUGGGUGAGGCCCUAGAAGAUGGACUUCCACAAGCUGCAAAAAGAUAAUAAACCAGGAAUCUAGUUAUGUGUUUAAAACCAGGGCACUUCCUCCCUGUGUGGAGCACUAGUUAUGUGUUUAAAACCAAGAGCACUUCUAGCUCAGUGUCAAGGCAACUCAGGUGCUUAAGUGACCAAAUUUGCAUGACGGGCACAGAAAAAGAGCAAAAAAUGAGAGGGCCUGAAAGAAGAUGGUAUCCAGUCAUUUAAAAAAGCCAGAUGAACCAUCUUGCUCAAAAGCCUAGCUUUCCACCGAGUCCAACACUAAUGUCACUUAAAUACCAUUUCUCUUAGUUUCUUGGACUUGGACAAAGCUGGAAGGAAAACGUCGAAUUUUGGUCUUUUACUCAUUUUUAUAAACUUCCCAUGAGCCAUUUUUAAAUACCUUACAAACAAGUGGUUUAAAAAUACAAAAUAUAGGAGUUCCUGUCGUGGCUCAGUGGUUGGCGAAUCCGACUAGGAACCAUGAUGUUGCGGGUUCGGUCCCUGCCCUUGCUCAGUGGGUUAAGGAUCUGGCAUUGCCGUGAGCUGUGGUGUAGGUUGCAGACAUGGCUCGGAUCCCGCGUUGCUGUGGCUCUGGCAUAGGCUGGCAGCUACAGCUCCGAUUUGACCCCUAGCCUGGGAACCUCCAUGUGCCAUGGGGGUGGCCCUAGAAAAGGCAAAAAGACAAAAAAAAAAAAAAAAAAAAAAAAAAAAUACAUAAUUUAUGUCUUGUAUAUUAUUUUUUAGCUUUAUUUCUGUUGUAAGGAUAAAUUCUGGUCACCUAGAAUUUGAGGGUCUCCUGCCUUCAUUAGGAGUCCAGGGAGUUCCCAUCCUGGCUCAGUGGUUAACGAAUCCGUCUAGGAACCAUGAGGUUGCAGGUUCCAUCCCUGGCCUUGCUCAGUGGGUUAAGGAUCCGGCGUUGCUAGGUUGCAGACGUGGUUCGGAUCUUGUGUUGCUGUGGUUCUGGAGUAGGCUGGCAGCUACAGCUCCGAUUCCACCCCUAGCCUGGGAACCUCCAUAAGCCGCACAAGCGGCCCAAGAAAAUGGCAAAAAGACCAAAAAUAAAAAUAAAAAGGAAUCCAGUAAGCAAUAUCUUAGGCUGUAUUUCUGAUGACAAGUCUCUCUCUAUCUCUCGCUCUAGACACACAAGCACUGUGUUCAUCAUUAGCUUCCUUCUCCAUUUGACACCUGCUCUACAUCCUAAGUACCCCUCAUUGCAGCCGCCUAUAUUCUAGCAUAGCAAACCAGCCAAUCGUUUUCGACCAACGCCCAGGGAACACGGGGUCGCAAGGUGCCAGGUGCAAACAGCAGGGUCAAACCAAAGGUUUCGCUACGCCUGCGUCUCAGAGGUCGCCCUCCGCAGACUCGUUAAGGACGAGCUACGCCUGCAGAAGGAAGCCUGGAGGCGGGGAGUCACGGGCUUUCAGCUGGUUCCGCGGAAAACCACGGACAUGGGAACACGCCACCCACACUGCCGCCGUCUUCACCUUUGCAAAAAGGAGCAGCGCCGGGCGCAGGCAGGAAGCCGCGCGGGCCGAGACGCCGGGCUGCGCGCUCCCGCUCGCCCUCCCUCCGCCGCGGCGCGGGGCCCGCCGACCC
Molecule: long non-coding RNA, 4726 nt
Filed under: Sus scrofa (pig)
Lineage: Eukaryota; Metazoa; Chordata; Mammalia; Artiodactyla; Suidae
Description: lncRNA (ENSSSCG00045026012.1)
Source: RNAcentral